CCCUUAGAUGUCCUGGGCCGCACGCGCGUUACACUGAUGCAUUCAACGAGCUUAUAACCUUGGCCGAGAGGCCUGGGCAAUCUUGUUAACGUGCAUCGUGAUAGGGAUAGAUUAUUGAAAUUAUUAAUCUUGAACGAGGAAUUCCUAGUAAACGCAGAUCAUCAAUCUGCAUUGAUUACGUCCCUGCCCUUUGUACACACCGCCCGUCGCUCCUACCGAUUGGAUGAUCCGGUGAGCUAUUCGGACCUUCGCUUCGUCGAUUUUCGGCUUUGUGAGGGAAAGUCUCGCGAACCUUAUCAUCUAGAGGAAGGAGAAGUCGUAACA
Molecule: ribosomal RNA, 324 nt
Filed under: uncultured eukaryote
Lineage: Eukaryota
Description: partial 18S ribosomal RNA
Rfam family: Eukaryotic small subunit ribosomal RNA
Source: RNAcentral